UGUUAUAAGGAAGAAUACACUUGCCUCAGCAGCUGUGUGACCAGUGGUGGAUGACUCAACCUCCCUGAGCAACAUCAUUGCCUCAUCAUGUGUUAGGACUGAGAGGGGAUGGCAUAUCAAGACAGCCUGGCAGCUGACACAGAGCAGGCUCGGGAUAAAUGAGGCUUUCAUAGGCAGAGCAUGCCUGGACGCUGGUCAGGAAGCUGCGGACACCCGUGAACCUCAUGAGCUGGGACAGCCAGUCG
This 245-nucleotide long non-coding RNA is filed under the name Homo sapiens (human). RNAcentral's name for it is "HSALNT0239334". The record is from RNAcentral. Lineage: Eukaryota; Metazoa; Chordata; Mammalia; Primates; Hominidae.